RNAcentral lists this ribosomal RNA (437 nucleotides) under uncultured bacterium. RNAcentral describes it as "partial 16S ribosomal RNA". It matches the Rfam family "Bacterial small subunit ribosomal RNA", at positions 29 to 507 of the family's 1533-position model. The record is from RNAcentral.
AGCGAACGCUGGCGGCAGGCUUAACACAUGCAAGUCGAGCGGGCAUCCUUGUGGUGUCAGCGGCAGACGGGUGAGUAACGCGUGGGAACGUGCCCUUCGGUUCGGAAUAACUCAGGGAAACUUGAGCUAAUACCGGAUACGUGCGAGAGCAGAAAGGUUUAUCUGCCGAAGGAUCGGCCCGCGUCUGAUUAGCUAGUUGGUGAGGUUACGGCUCACCAAGGCGACGAUCAGUAGCUGGUCUGAGAGGAUGAUCAGCCACACUGGGACUGAGACACGGCCCAGACUCCUACGGGAAGCAGCAGUGGGGAAUGGUGGACAAUGGGGGCAACCCUGAUCCAGCCAUGCCGCGUGAGUGAUGACGGCCUUAGGGUUGUAAAGCGCUUUUCUCCGGGACGAUAAUGACGGUACCGGAGGAAUAAGCCCCGGCUAACUUCGUG